UACGUAGGGGGCAAGCGUUGUCCGGAUUUACUGGGCGUAAAGGGUGCGUAGGCGGAUAUUUAAGUCAGAUGUGAAAUACCCGGGCUCAACUCGGGUGCUGCAUUUGAAACUGGAUAUCUAGAGUGCGGGAGAGGUAAGUGGAAUUCCUAGUGUAGCGGUGAAAUGCGUAGAGAUUAGGAAGAACACCAGUGGCGAAGGCGACUUACUGGACCGUAACUGACGCUGAGGCAUGAAAGCGUGGGGAGCAAACAGG
Molecule: ribosomal RNA, 253 nt
Filed under: uncultured bacterium
Lineage: Bacteria
Description: partial 16S ribosomal RNA
Rfam family: Bacterial small subunit ribosomal RNA
Source: RNAcentral